RNAcentral lists this unclassified non-coding RNA (261 nucleotides) under uncultured Mortierella. RNAcentral describes it as "sequence contains ITS2". Lineage: Eukaryota; Fungi; Mortierellomycota; Mortierellomycetes; Mortierellales; Mortierellaceae. The record is from RNAcentral.
AACACCUCAACCUCCUUCUUUGUUGAAAAGAGGGUGUUGGACUUGAGCAAACCCAACGAAGCGAUUCAUUUCGUCUCGGCGGGUUGCUUGAAAUGCAGGUGCGGCUGUAACAAGAACAGACUGAGCUAAAAGCAUAUCUAUUGAUUGUCCCUGCCUUCUUGGGUGGAUCGAUCUCUAUUUGCUGCAGCUACUCUAAGGUCGUCUUGUAUGAGCUGACUGAUGCAGGAUUGACAAAAGCCUCUUCGCGAGGCCUUUUUCAAA